This 26-nucleotide non-coding RNA is filed under the name Mus musculus (house mouse). The record is from RNAcentral. Lineage: Eukaryota; Metazoa; Chordata; Mammalia; Rodentia; Muridae.
UGCCACCAGUCUGGGAAAAGGAGCAC